Molecule: ribosomal RNA, 565 nt
Filed under: uncultured bacterium
Lineage: Bacteria
Description: bacterial SSU rRNA
Rfam family: Bacterial small subunit ribosomal RNA
Source: RNAcentral
GGAAUUUUGGACAAUGGGGGCAACCCUGAUCCAGCAAUGCCGCGUGAGUGAAGAAGGCCUUCGGGUUGUAAAGCUCUUUUGUCAGGGAAGAAACAGCAGCUCUAACACAGUCUGCGAAUGACGGUACCUGAAGAAUAAGCACCGGCUAACUACGUGCCAGCAGCCGCGGUAAUACGUAGGGUGCGAGCGUUAAUCGGAAUUACUGGGCGUAAAGCGUGCGCAGGCGGUUAUACAAGACAGGCGUGAAAUCCCCGGGCUUAACCUGGGAAUGGCGUCUGUGACUGUAUAGCUAGAGUGUGUCAGAGGGGGGUGGAAUUCCACGUGUAGCAGUGAAAUGCGUAGAUAUGUGGAGGAACACCAAUGGCGAAGGCAGCCCCCUGGGAUAACACUGACGCUCAUGCACGAAAGCGUGGGGAGCAAACAGGAUUAGAUACCCUGGUAGUCCACGCCCUAAACGAUGCUGACUAGUUGUUGGGAAUUUACAUUCUCAGUAACGUAGCUAACGCGUGAAGUCAGCCGCCUGGGGAGUACGGUCGCAAGAUUAAAACUCAAAUGAAUUGACGGA